This is a non-coding RNA of Ciona savignyi (Pacific transparent sea squirt), 83 nucleotides long. Lineage: Eukaryota; Metazoa; Chordata; Ascidiacea; Phlebobranchia; Cionidae. The record is from Rfam.
ACUGGUUUGGCCGAGUGGUUAAGGCGUUGGACUUAAGUUCCUAUGGACAAGUGUCCGCGUGGGUUCGAACCCCACACCCAGUA